Molecule: ribosomal RNA, 253 nt
Filed under: uncultured bacterium
Lineage: Bacteria
Description: partial 16S ribosomal RNA
Rfam family: Bacterial small subunit ribosomal RNA
Source: RNAcentral
UACGUAGGGGGCAAGCGUUGUCCGGAUUCAUUGGGCGUAAAGAGCGUGUAGGCGGCCAGGUAGGUCGGUUGUGAAAACUGGAGGCUCAACCUUCAGAGGUCGACCGAAACCAUCUGGCUAGAGUCCGGGAGAGGAGAGUGGAAUUCCCGGUGUAGCGGUGAAGUGCGCAGAUAUCGGGAGGAACACCUAUGGCGAAGGCAGCUCGCUGGGACGGUACUGACGCUGAGACGCGAAAGCGCGGGGAGCAAACAGG